CGAACGGGUGCUUAACACGUGGGCAAUCUGCCGAGAAGUGGGGGAUAGCUCGCCGAAAGGCGAAUUAAUACCUGCAUGUGAUCAGAGUGGACAUCCAUUCAAAAUCAAAGUCGGGGCAACCUGACGCUUCUUGAGGAGCCCGCGGCCUAUCAGCUAGUUGGUGAGGUAACGGCCCACCAAGGCUUUGACGGGUAGCUGGUCUGAGAGGACGACCAGCCACACUGGGACUGAGACACGGCCCAGACACCAUACGGGUGGCAGCAGUCGAGAAUUUUUCUCAAUGGGGGAAACCCUGAAGGAGCGACGCCGCGUGGAGGAUGAAGGUCUUCGGGUUGUAAACUCCUGUCAUUUGGGAACAAUGCGCAAAUAUUAACUGUAUUUGCGUUGAUAGUACCAGAAGAGGAAGAGACGGCUAACUCUGUGCCAGCCGCCGCGG
RNAcentral lists this ribosomal RNA (436 nucleotides) under uncultured bacterium. RNAcentral's name for it is "bacterial SSU rRNA". It matches the Rfam family "Bacterial small subunit ribosomal RNA", at positions 99 to 520 of the family's 1533-position model. The record is from RNAcentral.